Molecule: ribosomal RNA, 274 nt
Filed under: uncultured bacterium
Lineage: Bacteria
Description: partial 16S ribosomal RNA
Rfam family: Bacterial small subunit ribosomal RNA
Source: RNAcentral
AUACGGAGGGUGCAAGCGUUAAUCGGAAUUACUGGUCGUAAAGCGUACGUGGGCGGUUCGUUAAGUUAGAUGUGAAAGCCCCGGGCUUAACCUGGGAACUGCAUUUAAAACUGGCGAACUAGAGUUGAGUAGAGGGGAGUGGAAUUUCAGGUGUAGCGGUGAAAUGCGUAGAGAUCUGAAGGAACACCAGUGGCGAAGGCGACUCCCUGGACUCGAACUGACGCUGAGGUACGAAAGCGUGGGUAGCAAACGGGAUUAGAAACCAUAGUAGUCC